UCAAAAUCUCCUGCUUCUCUGGAGAUGACAAUCCUCUUCUCUAUCCUGGUUUCAGAGAUCCCUCCAUUCAUCGUCUGGUAGCAGAAAGAUUGAUUAAGGAAUAUAAUUUUUAUUGUUAUUUAUUCUAGAAAGUCUGACAGCAGAUUUGAAAUUGGGUUAGUAUUAUAGGUGUGGUAGUAGACAGAUGGGUUAUGGGUAGUCUUAUAGGUGUGGUACUGGACAGAUGGGUUAGUAUUACAGGUGUGGUACUGGACAGAUGGGUUAUGGGUAGUAUUAUAGGUGUGGUACUGGACAGAUGGGUUAUUGGUAGUAUUAUAGGUGUGGUACUGGACAGAUGGGUUAGUAUUAUAGGUGUGGUACUAGAUAGAUGGGUUAGUAUUAUAGGUGUGGUAUUGGACAGAUGGGUUAGUAUUAUAGGUGUGGUACUAGACAGAUGGAUUAGUAUUAUAGGUGUGGUAAUAGACAGAUGGAUUAGUAUUAUAGGUGUGGUACUGGACAGAUGGGUUAUGGGUAGUAUUAUAGAUGUGGAACUAGACAGAUGGGUUAGUAUUAUAGGUGUGGUACUGCACAGAUGGGUUAGUUUUAUAGGUGUGGUACUAGACAGAUGGGUUAUAGGUAGUAUUAUAGGUGUGGUACUGGACAGAUGGGUUAGUAUUAUAGGUGUGGUACUAGACAGAUGGGUUAUGGGUAGUAUAAUAGGUGUGGUACUAGACAGAUGGGUUAUGGGUAGUAUUAUAGGUGUGGUACCAGAAAGAUGGGUUAGUAUUUUAGGUGUGGUUCUGGACAGAUGGGUUAGUAUUAUAGGUGUGGUACUAGACAGAUGGGUUAUGGGUAGUAUUAUAGGUGUGGUACUGGACAGAUGGGUUAGUAUUAUAGGUGUUGUACUAGACAGAUGGGUCAUGGGUAGUAUUAUAGGUGUGGUACUGGACAGAUGGUUUAGUAUUAUAGGUGUGGUACUGGACAGAUGGGUUAGUAUUAUAGGUGUGGUACUGGACAGAUGGGU
RNAcentral lists this long non-coding RNA (1003 nucleotides) under Salmo salar (Atlantic salmon). RNAcentral's name for it is "lncRNA (ENSSSAG00000085015.1)". Lineage: Eukaryota; Metazoa; Chordata; Actinopteri; Salmoniformes; Salmonidae. The record is from RNAcentral.